AAUCGAACCUCCUAGUAGCUGGUUUCCGCCGAAAUUUCCCUCAGGAUAGCGGCCAUCGCGGAAACGUUUUGACCGGUAGAGCGAACGACUAGAGGUACCGGGGCCGUAACGGCCUCGACCUAUUCUCGAACUCCGAACGGGCAAGGAGCCGGGGUCGCCCGAUCGGACCCCGGACGUGAAGUCGACGAUGGUCGGUGGGCUGGUUUUGGUAAGCAGAACGGGCGAUUCGGGAUGAACCGGAAGCGGGGAGAAAGGGCCCGAGAUUGCGUCGACGCGGAUCCCGAAAAGGGCGUCGAUCCGUCGCGACAGCGGGACGGUGGUCAUGGAAGUCGAAAUCCGCUAAGAAGCGUGUAAAAACGUACCCGCCCAAACGGAUCGGCCCCGAAAAUUGAUGGCGCUCGAACGCAACCCUCGAACCCCGCCGACGGAGGCUAGGGGAGGCCCCGUCGAGUAGGCGGACGCGCGGGUCGCUUCGACGCUCCCGCGCGAGCGGGGGCGGAGCGGCCCGUGGUGCAGAUCUGGUGGUAGUAG
Molecule: ribosomal RNA, 531 nt
Filed under: uncultured eukaryote
Lineage: Eukaryota
Description: eukaryotic LSU rRNA
Rfam family: Eukaryotic large subunit ribosomal RNA
Source: RNAcentral